RNAcentral lists this long non-coding RNA (2017 nucleotides) under Xyrichtys novacula (pearly razorfish). The record is from RNAcentral. Lineage: Eukaryota; Metazoa; Chordata; Actinopteri; Labriformes; Labridae.
CUCUGUUUUUACAAUUUCCUUCUACAACAUUCACGAUAUAUUAACACAAUUAAAUGUCAAAAGUUGGAAGGAUGAGAUUUGAUGUUAAAAGACCGAACAAGACAAGCUUAGACUGUUUUGUCCACAGGGGGGCGCCAAACUUGACACAAACCAAAGUCCAAAGCAUAGAAAUAGAAGAAAGUGAAAGUUUGUAUCGUACAGAUUAGUGCUGGACGAUAAUUCGAUAACAAUAUAUAUCGAUCGAUAGAUGUGUGGUACGAUAGAAAAAAAACGGGUCGAUAAAAAGUUCGAUAGAAAAACACAGUUUCCCUUUCUUUUUCAUCAUAGCCUAUCAUGUAGCUUUCACUACAGUCAUUACUUCCUCCCAACCAAUCACAAACGCAGAUCCAGGUACGCUACGGCACCAAGCCCAGCCCCUCUCAAACCACAACAGACAGCACGUGUAUUAGAAAUAAUGUUACAGCAAGGAGAAGCGGAGGACAUUGUCCCGAAAAAAGGUUUCAGUAGUUCACCAGCAUGGCAGUGUUUUGGUUUUUAGAAGUCUGACAAAAAGCGAACAGCGGUCGUUUGCAAAAUUUGCAGAGAAUUAGUAAAAACUAAGUCUGGUAACACAAUCAACUUGUUUUACCAUCUAAACCGGUCGCACCCGCAGGAGUACGAGCUGUGUCGGCCGCGCCGCGGCUCCACGUCAUCGUCGGAGGAAUCCUCUGGAACCACUGCCAGCACCAGCACAAAGCAUGUGAAGCAGACCAAACUGGACUUCGUUUCUCUCCAAAAAUACGACAAAGCGUCCAAGCGGCAUAAGGACAUCACCCAUGCAGUAACAUGAUCCAUAGCGAGGGACAUACUGCCAGUAACUACCGUUGAAAAGCCUGGCUUCAAACAGCUUCUAGCCACUCUCGACCCGCGAUAUGAAGUGCCCGGCCGCAAGUAUUUCUCAAACACAGCGCUUCAGGCAUGAAAACGGGUCAGGGGUAGAAAAGGUGAGAAGGGUGCGGAGGAAAUACGUUCCGGUGUUAUGCCGUAGAAUGCACCCCUGCAUCCCGUCCACUCAUUAGCUAAAGUGGAAGAAAAUGAGCUCAUAAAGCUCACAAAGACGCGAGUAUUUGGAUCAUGACUACUAGCAGGGGGUGCAUUCGGCAGGGAUGCAUUCUACGACACAACACCGGCGUGGAUAAGUCAUGCUUCUCGUGCUCAGUUUGCGUAUUAAGUCAAUCACAUGAUAAUUAAAAAAAAUAAAUCUCCCGACCCCGGGAGAAAUAUUUCAGUGUUCAGACACCAGGUUGUGGGCAGUUUCCCACACAGUUAAAACUGGCAGUAUGCUAUUCCCACCUAAAGCUAUUCUGUUUAUUUGUAUAUUUGUUUGUUUUGUUUAUUUUCAUCAAAAGACUAUUUAAAUAUUUAUUUAACAGAUUUUCUGGUCACUUUAGUCUUUAUGUUUGUCAGUAUUUACUGACGUCACUCAGGCCACUUAAGUUGAUUUCUUUUUUUUUUUUAAGUUCUUUUUUAAAAAACUUUCAGUUGUGGUAAAAAAAAAAAAAGGUGGUUGAAUAAAGGUUUGAAUUUGAAUUCAGUGCUUGUGUGUUCUUUAUUAAAAGUAGGUCAUUAAGCAAUAGCAUAACACAUCCAGGGCUGCAAUUAAAAUAUAUGUUAAAUAAUUAUAAUAAUUAUAUUGAUAAUUAUCGAUAUCGAUCAAUAUGAUUUAUUUUUUAUCGAUAUGCUUUUUUUCUAUAUCGUCCAGGCCUAGUACAGAUACCUGAUGAUGAUGAAUUUAAAGACGCACCAACUGUUUUAUGUUAUCAUAGAUUUAUUGAUUACAGUAAAAGUCACAUCUACCCGCUAAAUACUGGACAAAAUUCAAUCACUUUAAUGAAAUUCGUACAAUUCUCACUUAAGCAUUCACACAAAUCUCCCAUUUUCAGGAAACCUUGAAGAUGACACACCAACUUUUAUGUGUGCGCUUUUAUUCCUCUCCACAUUCAUCUGUUGGUCAAAAAAUCAAAGCAGGUCAGUGAAG